RNAcentral lists this ribosomal RNA (253 nucleotides) under uncultured bacterium. RNAcentral's name for it is "partial 16S ribosomal RNA". It matches the Rfam family "Bacterial small subunit ribosomal RNA", at positions 524 to 776 of the family's 1533-position model. The record is from RNAcentral.
UACGGAGGAUGCAAGCGUUAUCCGGAAUGAUUGGGCGUAAAGCGUCCGCAGGCGGCAAUGUAAGUCUGCUGUUAAAGCGUCUAGCUCAACUAGAUACAAGCAGUGGAAACUACAUCGCUAGAGUGCGUUCGGGGCAGAGGGAAUUCCUGGUGUAGCGGUGAAAUGCGUAGAGAUCAGGAAGAACACCGGUGGCGAAGGCGCUCUGCUAGGCCGCAACUGACACUGAGGGACGAAAGCUAGGGGAGCGAAUGGG